UUCAGACGAUACAGAGAAGAUUAGCCUGGCCCCUGCGCAAGGAUGACAUGCAAAUACGUGAAGCGUUCCAUAUUUUA
Molecule: small nuclear RNA, 77 nt
Filed under: Echinops telfairi (small Madagascar hedgehog)
Lineage: Eukaryota; Metazoa; Chordata; Mammalia; Afrosoricida; Tenrecidae
Source: RNAcentral